UUGAGUGAACAAUUGUUCCAGACUAUAUACUAUCAGCUGCAUAUUCUAAAACAGUACUGUACACGUGACCGUGUAUGACAGAGUACUCUACCACAGCAGAGGAAACGUGGAUCUAGUCCAUAUCUAUCAUCUGCAUAAGUGGAGUCCAACUUGCGGCACAGAAAUGGAGGACCAUGUCAACGGAACCUCUUUUGAAAAUACAGUUACAGUGCACAUGAAUGUAGAUACAGCUGAAAUAACAGGAGAUGUUCAUAGCAGAUCAAGAUCAAGAGGUAGACCAAAGAAACGCUCAGCACCACCAAAAAAGGCACGACGGUUUUUCAGCAGACAGAUGGGCAUGAGGUCAUCCCAGUUUCCCUUGAUUUGCAUGAGGACCAAGCUGAGCAUGAGGGGGAGGAAGAGGUAGAUGAGGAAGAUCUUCAGGAAGGGACAACAUUCACGCCAGAUUCCCAGUCUGAUGAUGAGGAUGAGGAUCUCUCCAGGAGAGACCUUCUUGCUCUCCAGCAAAAGUCAUAGAGACUUUUCAUUGAAAACUUAAGAAACUAGUUGAAUAUGGAAUAACAAACACAAAAACUGAAAUGAG
Pecten maximus is the source of this 583-nucleotide long non-coding RNA. RefSeq lists it as uncharacterized. NCBI's taxonomy places the organism in Eukaryota, Metazoa, Mollusca, Bivalvia, Pectinida, Pectinidae. The transcript is spliced from 3 exons. The record is from RefSeq and is a predicted model, not a curated record.